RNAcentral lists this ribosomal RNA (455 nucleotides) under Teleopsis dalmanni. Its description in RNAcentral is "partial 16S ribosomal RNA". The stretch from base 267 to 425 matches the Rfam family "Bacterial large subunit ribosomal RNA", at positions 2473 to 2632 of the family's 2925-position model. Lineage: Eukaryota; Metazoa; Arthropoda; Insecta; Diptera; Diopsidae. The record is from RNAcentral.
UGGACGAGAUAUAAGCUGUUUCAUUUAAAAUUUAUAUAGAAUUUUAUUUUUUAGUUAAAAAGCUAAAAUAUGAUCAAAAGACGAGAAGACCCUAUAAAUCUUAAUUAUUUAAUAAUUUUUAAUUUAUUUUGGUUUUUUUUGUUAUAAAUUUAUUAAAUAAUUUUAUUGGGGUGAUAUUAAAAUUUAAAUAACUUUUAAUAAUUUUUGUCAUUUAUUUAUGAUUAAGUGAUCCAUUAUUAGUGAUUAAAAAAUUAAGUUACUUUAGGGAUAACAGCGUAAUUUUUUUGGAGAGUUCUUAUCGAUAAAAAAGUUUGCGACCUCGAUGUUGGAUUAAGAUUCAUAUUUAAAUGUAGAAGUUUAAAUAUUAAGUCUGUUCGACUUUUUAUUCUUACAUGAUCUGAGUUCAAACCGGUGUAAGCCAGGUUGGUUUCUAUCUUUGAUUUAAUAAAAUAUUU